CCUACGGGAGGCAGCAGUAGGGAAUAUUGCUCAAUGGGGGAAACCCUGAAGCAGCAACGCAGCGUGGAGGAUGAAUGUUUUCGGAUUGUAAACUCCUUUUGUUAGAGAAGAUAAUGACGGUAUCUAACGAAUAAGCACCGGCUAACUCCGUGCCAGCAGCCGCGGUAAUACGGAGGGUGCAAGCGUUACUCGGAAUCACUGGGCGUAAAGCGCGCGUAGGCGGGAUAGCAAGUCAGAUGUGAAAUCCUAUGGCUUAACCAUAGAACUGCAUUUGAAACUGUUAUUCUAGAGUAUGGGAGAGGUAGGUGGAAUUCUUGGUGUAGGGGUAAAAUCCGUAGAGAUCAAGAGGAAUACUCAUUGCGAAGGCGACCUGCUAGAACAUAACUGACGCUGAUGCGCGAAAGCGUGGGGAGCAAACAGGAUUAGAUACCCGAGUAGUC
Molecule: ribosomal RNA, 440 nt
Filed under: uncultured bacterium
Lineage: Bacteria
Description: partial 16S ribosomal RNA
Rfam family: Bacterial small subunit ribosomal RNA
Source: RNAcentral